AACGAACGCUGGCGGCAUGCCUAACACAUGCAAGUCGAACGAGACCUUCGGGUCUAGUGGCGCACGGGUGCGUAACGCGUGGGAACCUGCCCUUAGGUUCGGAAUAACUCCCCGAAAGGGGUGCUAAUACCGGAUAAUGUCUUCGGACCAAAGAUUUAUCGCCUUUGGAUGGGCCCGCGUUGGAUUAGCUAGUUGGUAGGGUAAAAGCCUACCAAGGCGACGAUCCAUAGCUGGUCUGAGAGGAUGAUCAGCCACACUGGGACUGAGACACGGCCCAGACUCCGAGGGGAGGCAGAGGGGGGGAAUAUUGGACAAGGGGCGAAGGCCUGAUCAAGCAAUGCCGCGGGAGUGAGGAGGGCCUGGGGGUUGAAAAGUCUUUUUACCCGGGAGGAUAAGGACGGACCGGGGAAAAAAAGCCCCGGCAAACCCCGUG
RNAcentral lists this ribosomal RNA (433 nucleotides) under uncultured bacterium. RNAcentral's name for it is "partial 16S ribosomal RNA". It matches the Rfam family "Bacterial small subunit ribosomal RNA", at positions 29 to 507 of the family's 1533-position model. The record is from RNAcentral.